UCCUACAAUAUUUCAUUUUGUCACCAGGUACCUGGACUGGUGAAAAGUGAAAACUGAAAUUCAUUCAUGUCACCAUUAUCCUACGACCUACCCCUAAAUGGAAUUGAUCUUGUUUCACAAAUGAGUUGUACAUUGUACAAUGUCUAUCAGCUGAUGUCUAUUGUCUAUCUCUCUUUCAGCACAGAAGAUCCUCAGUCAUAGUUAACAAAAUGGAAAAAAAUUAGCUGUGUUUUUAAGAUUCCAGUGGUGGCCAUCAACUGCUCAGGAAAGCAGCCCAGAAUCACUUCACAACAGGUUUCCAAAGGAUCAUCAUUCAUCAGCACAGAAGGGUGGGAAAGAGAAGGCUGUUCAAAUUCUGAAAAGCCAGAGCUGCAAAGGAGGUCAAAGAUGCAGUGCAGUUGGUCCACUCAGUAGAGUUUCACUAGUGGUUCUGAUGUGGACUGAAGAUUACACGCUGGAUUGAAGUGGCCGGUCUGGAGCAGCUGUAGUUCAUCAUUCUUGCUGAUUGUGGACGAGUAAGAUCCCGCGUUGGCCCCGAUCGGCGAUCGCUGGCCAAAGCCCACCACCAGGUUGGUGAUAGGCGUUGGCUGUGAUAUCUAGUGUCGCCUAUGUGU
This 614-nucleotide long non-coding RNA is filed under the name Amphibalanus amphitrite. RNAcentral's name for it is "uncharacterized LOC122385651, transcript variant X1". Lineage: Eukaryota; Metazoa; Arthropoda; Thecostraca; Balanomorpha; Balanidae. The record is from RNAcentral.